RNAcentral lists this transfer RNA (72 nucleotides) under Toxocara canis (dog roundworm). It matches the Rfam family "tRNA". Rfam says of the family: Transfer RNA (tRNA) molecules are approximately 80 nucleotides in length. Their secondary structure includes four short double-helical elements and three loops (D, anti-codon, and T loops). The record is from Rfam by way of RNAcentral. Lineage: Eukaryota; Metazoa; Nematoda; Chromadorea; Rhabditida; Toxocaridae.
CGAGCAGUAGCUCAGCGGUAGAGCUCCAGCUUCGUGUGCGGGAAGACCUGGGUCCGGUUCUCAGCUGCCUAU